CUACGGGCGGCUGCAGUGAGGAAUAUUGCACAAUGGGGGAAACCCUGAUGCAGCAACGCCGCGUGGAGGAUGACGCAUUUCGGUGUGUAAACUCCUUUUAUGAGUCAAGAAAAUGACGGUAGCUCAUGAAUAAGCACCGGCUAACUCCGUGCCAGCAGCCGCGGUAAUACGGAGGGUGCAAGCGUUACUCGGAAUCACUGGGCGUAAAGGACGCGUAGGCGGGCUUGUAAGUCAGGUGUGAAAUCCUACAGCUUAACUGUAGAACUGCACUUGAAACUACGAGCCUAGAGUAUGGGAGGGGCAGAUGGAAUUAGUGGUGUAGGGGUAAAAUCCGUAGAUAUCACUAGGAAUACCGAAAGCGAAGGCGAUCUGCUGGAACAUUACUGACGCUAAGGCGUGAAAGCGUGGGGGGCAAACGGAUUAGAUACCCGAGUAGUC
This 438-nucleotide ribosomal RNA is filed under the name uncultured bacterium. Its description in RNAcentral is "partial 16S ribosomal RNA". It matches the Rfam family "Bacterial small subunit ribosomal RNA", at positions 339 to 795 of the family's 1533-position model. The record is from RNAcentral.